AAAAAAUGCAAGGCCACCCAGCCAUACAUAUAACUGAAAUACAUUAUUUGACAGCAUAGCCAUACAAAGUGCUGAGCUAGUGGCUGUACUUAAGAAAUAAACAAACAACAACAACAAAAAGAUAGAAAAAGAUAUGCAAGGAUCAUCACCAGUAAUGGUCAUUAAUUACUAUAACAUAAAAGACGAACUCUAUACCAAAUUUAUAUUAAAUGUAAAAUGAUUGAUAAUAGUAAUCGUUCAUCAUAGCAUGAUAUCAAUUUAG
This 262-nucleotide unclassified non-coding RNA is filed under the name Hevea brasiliensis (rubber tree). Lineage: Eukaryota; Viridiplantae; Streptophyta; Magnoliopsida; Malpighiales; Euphorbiaceae. The record is from RNAcentral.